RNAcentral lists this non-coding RNA (30 nucleotides) under Mus musculus (house mouse). Lineage: Eukaryota; Metazoa; Chordata; Mammalia; Rodentia; Muridae. The record is from RNAcentral.
UGCCACAAGCAUCUGCAGAUUGGGUCUCCC